Molecule: ribosomal RNA, 108 nt
Filed under: Propithecus coquereli (Coquerel's sifaka)
Lineage: Eukaryota; Metazoa; Chordata; Mammalia; Primates; Indriidae
Source: RNAcentral
GUCUAUGGCCAUACAACCCUGAAUACUCCUGAUUCAUCUGAUCUUGGAAGUUAAGCAGGGUUAGGCCUGGAUAGUACUUGGAUGGGAGAAUAUACUCUCCUAAAGAGA